GCAUUUGUGUACAACAUGCCAUUAAGAGCUAGACUUUUCACUCCUGUUACAAUUUUGUUCAGAAUUAAUAUUCUUGAAGACUAUACUCUGUUCUUCUGCAUUCCCUUCCACUUUUAGAGAGUAUUAAAAGAAUACAUUGAUGGCUAGAAAAGCCCUAUGAAUCCACAGCAUGUUGUUCUCUCUAUCCUUCAGCUCUAACAUGCACUAGAGAUUAGUUUGUGUCUAUAAAAAGAACUGCAGCUGUUAGUGCUUGUCUACUUACAAGAGGCUUGAAAAGCAUAUAUUAAUUAGGGAGAAUUUGUUUAGGAGCACUUGAAAACUCUUGUGUGUACUUCCCUGUGCAACUAACAACUUCACCUUCCCUUCACUUCUACUGUCACAAACAAAAUCAUUUGUGGAAAAGCCCACAAAACUCAUUACAUCUAAAUCUCUCACUAAAGUCAUCGACACAGUAACCCCAGUGGCAUCUGGAAUAAAUCAUUAUUAGUUCUUAUUUCAUCUCAUCCUAGCAGCUUUAUUUGUGUCCUGUAUUCUCUAUUUGGCAUCCAUUCUUUCCGCUUUGCUGUCUCUUUACACCCCUUAACAGAGAUGACUGAUUGGAUUAAAAUAAUUCAGGACUGAGAUGAUUCAUGUUUCAGUUAAAGUCAACUGUACAGGCUGUUCUGCACUAGCGAGACUGCUUGUCGUUUACCAUGCACUUGGGCAUAUUCCAGUGACAUAGAGGUGUGAAAGGACUGGGGCAAAACUGAGGCACUUCCCUUUGGCCUUUCAUGCUAUAGCAGCUGUUCACAGAGCAGCCUUCUGGCAAAGGGAAUAGCAAGCAGCGCUGUGAGUUAACAGGCUCUUUACCACAAUGGGCUCAAGCUCAAAUUCAGACUUGGGUCACAAGUAAAAAUAUUUGGCCUGAUCUUCCAAGUAAUUCUACAAAAUUGCUGCAGUCCUAUAAAGAAGGUGCCAAGAACCAGUGUAAUAAAAGCUAGUUGCAAGUCAAGUCUGAAGCAGCACCUAAAAAGGCAAUAGCAAGCUGCUAGCCUUUCCAGCUUUCACACUGUCAAGGAUCUUAGUUCCUCUGUUUUGCAGGUUUUAGGCUCAGUCACCAUACUUUUGGGAAUCUUUUUAUCUAGCACUAGACUAGAAAGAAACAUUACAUGGCACUAAGUGUUCACACAUUCUCAUAUAAGGCAGGUACAGAUUGCUAUCAAAGAGCCUGCAAAGCAGAGCUGUAGACAGUUUUACCAGAAUUAUUUUAACAGACAGAAAGGAAAACUCUCCCUACAUUGGUAGCAAAGAGUACUUCCCUUCAAGUCCUAUGUAAAACCAACAGCAAGUCUGACAUCCGGAAAAAAGGCACAUAACAUGGAGAAACUGCACAUGCAUGCUUGUUUUUCUUAGUAUGACUGGUGCCAUGUUUUUACACAGGACGUUCCAGGAAAAGCUACAGCAUAGCCCUCAUCCUACUCUGAUCCCUCAGGGAAAGAUAAUCACAUCUCAGUAACCCAGACAGAGCAGCUGUACGUCUCUGCUCCUGUAACAACUAUUUACACAGGACUCUAAUGAGAGAGGUCCUUUCUCUGCAAAGUAAUGUCAGUCUCAGUUAUUUCAGUGGCUGAGCAACAGAUCUCAAUUCAAACACUUGUGCUUAUAGCCUCGCAGUUGUUAACAUCAUAGGAAAGUGAAGAGUUCCAUGUUAUAAAUAACUUCAUAUAAAAGCAAUCUUAAAAGAAAGAAAUACAUUAUGAGUACUGGCCACACCUAGCAAUCUCAGACAAGGGCCACAAUCCCGUGUAUUGAACAUUUUAUAUUGAACAAAAAGUGGUUAUGAUGCCUUCCUCAUCUUCUAUCAAAUUCACAAUCUAAACACUCAUUUUCAAACUUGCAAAUAGGACAACUCCUAAAUCUUGACUGUGAACUUCGACGUCACUUACAAGGACAGAGAAAUGAGCAGAUGAUCAGUGUAAGCUUAAUAAGCUCAGUACAAUUUCUCAAGAGCAAAUCUAGCCUAAUUAGUCUAAUACAAAGUACAAAAAAAGAUAUGUUUUGUAGAAAAAUGGCUUUGUUACAACUGCCCUGUCAGCAGCAGAACCCUGCUGGAGACAUGACACAGGAGUUCUAUGUACCUGGCUCACAGACCAAAGCAAAUGGUGCAAGAGAUAACAGCACAGGAAGAUGCUAGUACAUUUUCCAAACACUGAUAUCACUUCACCAUGCAUGGAGAUAACAGGAUCUUGUGAUGUUCAACCACAAAUCUGGUCUCACAGUGUUUGGUUGGCAUACAAACUACAAACAUUUUUUGGCAAUGGAAUUGGCUCUCAAGAUUAAAAUUCACCUGAGUGUAAAGAAUAGGAUCAGUGGCUGGGAAAAAUUGAAGGGGAUUCAUUCCUCUUGAUGACAAACUUUUUCCUUACUCUUAAAUUAUUAAACCUGUACAAACAGCAGUACUGCUUCAGAUUCAGCACCAAAAAUACUUUGGACCUCUUUCAGGAAAGCUGUAACCAACACUUGCCAAAGAAGACCUUAGGUAGGACAGCAUUUUUAAGAUCCACCUUCAUUUGGGCUACUAGAAUAAAUACUCAAGCAUAAAACACAGAAAUUCACAGGAAAAAAACACAGCCAGCCAAAUUAGAUCAUCUGAUGCUAACUAGAACUUCUCAGCAAACAAUCUAACAUAACUUGAGCUAGAAGAAACCUCAUGAUGUACCUCUUAUUCCAUCAUUGUCUCAUGUUUGUAUUUAUGGAGUCAUAUGUAGUUUUCUGAUAUUACAGUUUAUCCUGG
This 2773-nucleotide long non-coding RNA is filed under the name Gallus gallus (chicken). Its description in RNAcentral is "lncRNA (ENSGALG00010011189.1)". The record is from RNAcentral. Lineage: Eukaryota; Metazoa; Chordata; Aves; Galliformes; Phasianidae.